Molecule: ribosomal RNA, 545 nt
Filed under: Kodamaea ohmeri
Lineage: Eukaryota; Fungi; Ascomycota; Pichiomycetes; Serinales; Debaryomycetaceae
Description: eukaryotic LSU rRNA
Rfam family: Eukaryotic large subunit ribosomal RNA
Source: RNAcentral
UUUUGCAUAUUCCAAAAGCGGAGGAAAAGAAACCAACAGGGAUUGCCUCAGUAACGGCGAGUGAAGCGGCAAAAGCUCAAAUUUGAAAUCCCCCCGGGGAGUUGUAAUUUGAAGAUUGCGUCUUGGAGGCGACCGUGUCUAUGUUCCUUGGAACAGGACGUCACAGAGGGUGAGAAUCCCGUGCGGCACGGCCCCCGGCUCCUUAUAAGGCGCUCUCGACGAGUCGAGUUGUUUGGGAAUGCAGCUCAAAGUGGGUGGUAAAUUCCAUCUAAAGCUAAAUACAGGCGAGAGACCGAUAGCGAACAAGUACAGUGAUGGAAAGAUGAAAAGCACUUUGAAAAGAGAGUGAAACAGCACGUGAAAUUGUUGAAAGGGAAGGGCAUGCCGUCAGAUUGUCAGUGUGGGUAAGAAGCGGGGUACAAAGACUGUGGAACGUGGCCCUCGGGUGUUAUAGCCGCAGUUCAUGCCCCGUCUCUUCCGAGGCCUGCUUUGAGGACACCGACGUAAUGACGGUACGCCGCCCGUCUUGAACCACGGGACCAAAA